Molecule: ribosomal RNA, 484 nt
Filed under: uncultured bacterium
Lineage: Bacteria
Description: partial 16S ribosomal RNA
Rfam family: Bacterial small subunit ribosomal RNA
Source: RNAcentral
AGUGAACGCUGGCGGCGUGCUUAACACAUGCAAGUCGAACGAGAACGGAUUAUAGCUUGCUAUAAUUGUUAGCUAAGUGGCGUACGGGUGAGUAAUGUAUAGGUAAUAUGCCUUUUACUAAGGAAUAACCAAUGGAAACGUUUGCUAAUACCUUAUACUCCUUAUUAACCUAAGUUAAUAAGGGAAAGAUUUAUUGGUAAGAGAUUAGCCUGUAUUGUAUCAGUUAGUUGGUGGGGUAAUGGCUUACCAAGACUAUGACACAUAACUGGUUUGAGAGGAUGAUCAGUCACACUGGAACUGAGACACGGUCCAGACUCCUACGGGAGGCAGCAGUGGGGAAUAUUGCACAAUGGACGGAAGUCUGAUGCAGCAACGCCGCGUGGAGGAUGACACAUUUCGGUGCGUAAACUCCUUUUAUAUGAGAAGAUAAUGACGGUAUUAUAUGAAUAAGCACCGGCUAACUCCGUGCCAGCCGCCGCCGUAA